RNAcentral lists this ribosomal RNA (466 nucleotides) under uncultured bacterium. RNAcentral's name for it is "partial 16S ribosomal RNA". It matches the Rfam family "Bacterial small subunit ribosomal RNA", at positions 28 to 505 of the family's 1533-position model. The record is from RNAcentral.
GACGAACGCUGGCGGCGUGCUUAACACAUGCAAGUCGAACGGAAAGGCCCUGCUUUUGUGGGGUGCUCGAGUGGCGAACGGGUGAGUAACACGUGAGUAACCUGCCCUUGACUUUGGGAUAACUUCAGGAAACUGGGGCUAAUACCGGAUAGGAGCUCCUGCUGCAUGGUGGGGGUUGGAAAGUUUCGGCGGUUGGGGAUGGACUCGCGGCUUAUCAGCUUGUUGGUGGGGUAGUGGCUUACCAAGGCUUUGACGGGUAGCCGGCCUGAGAGGGUGACCGGCCACAUUGGGACUGAGAGACGGCCCAGACGCCUACGGGGGGCAGCAGUGGGGAAUAUUGCACAAUGGGCGGAAGCCUGAUGCAGCAACGCCGCGUGCGGGAUGACGGCCUUCGGGUUGUAAACCGCUUUCGCCUGUGACGAAGCGUGAGUGACGGUAAUGGGUAAAGAAGCACCGGCUAACUACG